GAGCCCAAGCGAAAACGUCCGCAUUCUUUCAUAAAAAGUUGAUAAGCUGUGUUCGCACCUCUUCCCCCAAGUUGGAGCCGAUCUUCAUCACGUGCUCUUCAUUCCCAUCAUUCAAAAGAAUUGAGACAAGGUCUUCAAUUGACCCACCCCUUUCUUCAGCAAGAUCAUCGUGAGUGUCCAGUCCGUCGACCGGACAGGGGUUGGA
RNAcentral lists this long non-coding RNA (205 nucleotides) under Elaeis guineensis (African oil palm). Its description in RNAcentral is "long non-coding RNA (EGUI_LNC028108)". Lineage: Eukaryota; Viridiplantae; Streptophyta; Magnoliopsida; Arecales; Arecaceae. The record is from RNAcentral.